UCCCGGAUGGCGCAGUGGUUAACGCACCUGCCUAAUAAGCAGAAGAUCACGGGUUCGAAUCCCGCUCCGGUAC
Molecule: transfer RNA, 73 nt
Filed under: Schistocerca americana (American grasshopper)
Lineage: Eukaryota; Metazoa; Arthropoda; Insecta; Orthoptera; Acrididae
Also listed under: 2 other names
Description: tRNA-Ile
Rfam family: tRNA
About the family: Transfer RNA (tRNA) molecules are approximately 80 nucleotides in length.
Source: RNAcentral